CUCCAGAAGCUGGAAGAUUAAAGAAACAGAUUCUCCUUUCUCUAGAGCCUCCAGAAGGAUGGCAGCCCUGCCACCACCUUGAUCUUAGCUCAGUGGGAUCCAUUUCAGACAUCCAGCCUCCAGAGCUGUGAGAUGAUAAACUGGUGCUGUUUAUGGAUGCUUAGAAGAAGGAUAAAGAUCACUUUCAGAAGAGAGAAAAAGGAGUACACCAAAAAUUACCACCCAAGGUGUCGAUGUUAGUGAAGAAACGUUCUCUGUGUUCGGUGGAAGGCUAUCUUCCUUCUGUUUCACUAGUCAGAGACUGCCUGCAUGCUUAGAGCACACGUUGGAGCUUGGAAUGAGGGUCUUGUGCUGCGGACAAAGCAAAUCACCGAAGAGAAUCUUACCUUGGGCAGAAUGGCUGUG
RNAcentral lists this long non-coding RNA (405 nucleotides) under Equus caballus (horse). RNAcentral describes it as "lncRNA (ENSECAG00000031655.3)". Lineage: Eukaryota; Metazoa; Chordata; Mammalia; Perissodactyla; Equidae. The record is from RNAcentral.